RNAcentral lists this long non-coding RNA (1039 nucleotides) under Chrysemys picta bellii (western painted turtle). RNAcentral's name for it is "lncRNA (ENSCPBG00000017897.1)". Lineage: Eukaryota; Metazoa; Chordata; Testudines; Emydidae. The record is from RNAcentral.
CUGGCCCUGGUUUUUAGGGGAGAUCAAUCUGGCAUCUUAUAGAAGAUGCUGAUGUUCCCUUUAAACCUCCCUGUUCUCUUUCCCAUGCAGACACCACAGCGGCGCUGUCUGUAUUUACACUGCAGAACGGAGUCUGGGUUUCCCCUGGCCAGGCUGCUGUCCUGCCCAUCUCCCUCCAAUUCACAAACUCGGCGUGGGAGUUCUACCAUGUCAAGUGGUAUUUCAUGACAGGGAAUCGUCCCAUCCUGGUCUAUAUGGUGGACAGCUGCACUAGCUCCCUUGAGUCACAGGAGCGCACCUGCCAGCACAGCAUGGAACUGGCAGAUUUUUAUCAGCAGCGGGCAACUCUCUGCUUCCACAACGCUUCCCUGGUGCUCCUGGGUGUGCAGCCUGAGGAUGCUGGGAUGUACCGGGUAAUAGUGCGAGGCUUAGAUGUGUCAGCAGAUGCAACAGUGAACCUGACAGUGGUGGAAGACUUAUCUGGAGGAAGAGCAAAGGGAAAGGGAAACUGCAUGAUGUCCAGUGCCACCCAGCUAGGAGUAGCUUUCCUGGCUUUCUGCCUUUUAGAGCGGUUAGUCAGAGAGGUAAGUGAUUGCUGUUGCUGCUGUCGUAGUUUCUGGUUUUCCAAUCCUUAGUGAGAUACAUUAGAAGGGAUCCAAAGAGUACAUGAAGUCUGCAGGUGCCAUAGGUGUAUUGCAAUCAAGACCUCUUGCCUGGGAGGCACAUUAAAUCAGUUUUAUGCAUCAGGACCCUGGAUUUUUGAAGCAAGGAAUCUGGAUUUAUCCAGUACUGCUUACUCCCACUACCUAUAUCCAAGCCCUCUCAGCAUCACUGCACCCCUGGUCCAUUACUGCCCUCCAUUGCAACUGUAUGCACAUUGUUUAAUAGACCCCAUUGAAUCAGAGACCUAGUUAUUUUGGAUGAGUUUGGCAUCUCUAUUUUGUUUAGAUUAUGGCUUGACUCAUGCUCAUGUUACCAUGGGAGAGAUCUGAAUUCAAGUCCAGGUUCAGAGCAUCUGGACUGCAGAGACCGGGGGCGA